UACAGAGGUCUCAAGCGUUGUUCGGAUUCAUUGGGCGUAAAGGGUGUGUAGGUGGCGCUAUAAGGCGGGUGUGAAAUUUCGGAGCUUAACUCCGAAACUGCAUUCGAUACUGGCGUGCUUGAGGACUGGAGAGGAGACUGGAAUUCAUGGUGUAGCAGUGAAAUGCGUAGAGAUCAUGAGGAAGACCAGUGGCGAAGGCGGUGCUCUGGGCCGAAACUGACGCUGAGGAGCGAAAGCGUGGGUAGCAAACAGG
RNAcentral lists this ribosomal RNA (253 nucleotides) under uncultured bacterium. Its description in RNAcentral is "partial 16S ribosomal RNA". It matches the Rfam family "Bacterial small subunit ribosomal RNA", at positions 524 to 776 of the family's 1533-position model. The record is from RNAcentral.